This 253-nucleotide ribosomal RNA is filed under the name uncultured bacterium. Its description in RNAcentral is "partial 16S ribosomal RNA". It matches the Rfam family "Bacterial small subunit ribosomal RNA", at positions 524 to 776 of the family's 1533-position model. The record is from RNAcentral.
UACGUAGGGGGCAAGCGUUGUCCGGAUUUAUUGGGCGUAAAGAGCGUGUAGGCGGCCUGGUAGGUCAGCUGUGAAAACUCGAGGCUCAACCUCGAGACGCCGGUUGAAACCAUCAGGCUAGAGUCCGGAAGAGGAGAGUGGAAUUCCCGGUGUAGCGGUGAAAUGCGCAGAUAUCGGGAGGAACACCAAUGGCGAAAGCAGGUACCUGGACUAUUACUGACACUCAGCUGCGAAAGCUAGGGGAGCAAACAGG